This 724-nucleotide small RNA is filed under the name Pan troglodytes (chimpanzee). RNAcentral describes it as "retained intron". The record is from RNAcentral. Lineage: Eukaryota; Metazoa; Chordata; Mammalia; Primates; Hominidae.
UCUCAGGGACGUGGCGGUGAAGGCACAGUCUCGGCUAUGGUCCCAGGAAACAGACAGUGGGGCCUCCACCCUUCCUUCCCCGUUUGGAUUAAGGGGCUCCUGGCUGGAACACCUCACAGGACUGGCCCCAUCUGGGGCCCCCCUCUGGGACCCACCUCACACGCGUGGUGCGUUUGUUUGUGGCUGCUCCCAUUCCUAUAACCUCCGAGACCUUCACUCCUAGGAAUGUCCCAAGGCCAAUUCCCUUGGCAGCAAUGAGAAGAAAUGCCCUUUUCCAAAUAGCGACUUCUGCAAAACCCGCUGUUGUUUGUGGGUGAGCACUGCAAGUCCCACCCAUGCCACAGCCAGCCUCCCUCCUGGCUCCUCUGCCAGCGGUGGCCUUCCCCAGCCCUCACCCAGGCCCCAACUCUCCUCUCACAGGUUCCAGCUUCCUGGGGCCUGGAACUUUCCCUGAGUCCUUCCCACCCACCACGCCCAGCACCCCAACCCUUGCUGAGUUCACCCCGGGGCCACCCCCCAUCUCCUACCAGUCUGACAUUCCCAGCAGCCUCCUGACUUCAGAGAAGUCUACCGCCUGCCUCCCAGGCCAGAUGGCACCAGCAGGUCACCUGGACCCCACUCACAAUCCUGGGACACCAGGACUACACACCUCCAACGUUGGGGCCCCUCCAGGUCCCCAGCUGCACCAUUCAAACCCUCCCCCAGCGUCCCGGCAGUCCUUGGG